RNAcentral lists this ribosomal RNA (484 nucleotides) under uncultured bacterium. RNAcentral's name for it is "partial 16S ribosomal RNA". It matches the Rfam family "Bacterial small subunit ribosomal RNA", at positions 29 to 507 of the family's 1533-position model. The record is from RNAcentral.
AUUGAACGCUGGCGGCAUGCUUUACACAUGCAAGUCGAACGGCAGCGCGGGCUUCGGCCUGGCGGCGAGUGGCGAACGGGUGAGUAAUGCAUCGGAACGUGCCUAGUAGUGGGGGUUAGCCCGGCGAAAGCCGGAUUAAUACCGCAUACGACCUGUGGGUGAAAGCGGGGGACCGAAAGGCCUCGCGCUAUUGGAGCGGCUGAUGUCGGAUUAGCUAGUUGGUGGGGUACAGGCUUACCAAGGCGUCGAUCCGUAGCUGGUCUGAGAGGACGACCAGCCACACUAGGACUAGAACACGGCCCAGACUCCUACGGGAGGCAGCAGUGGGAAAUGUUGGACAAUGGGGGCAACCCUGAUCCAACCAUGCCGCGUGCGGGAAGAAAGCCUUCGGGUUGUAAACCACUUUUGUUCGGUGAGAAAUGCUCUGGGCUAAUACCCCGGGGGUGUGACGGUACCGGAAAAAUAAGCACCGGCUAACUACGUG